UUUCCUCUAUUGAAUGUAAUACAGUAUAUUUUAUGAAAUUAUCUAUAAAAUAUUGUUCCAUAUCGAUAAAUUUUUAUUAGGUAAAAUAAAGUUAACCAUUUUAUUUUAUUUUUCAAAUUUCUUUCAUAGAGCAGUCUGUUUCCUUACGUUAUCUUAUUUUUGUAAUAUGAGCAGCAAAAUUAUAUUUGUCAAUAUAGUAAAGACGAAUUUGGAGUGUAGAAUGAGUGCAAUUAUUUUAAAAAUAUUCUUGUCAAAUAUAUAUAAAUAUAACUGCACUUGAAUGUCUUUGUAUUGAUUUAAAUAUAAAUAUUAGUAUCCAUGGUAUAUUGCUUACAAAUAAUUGAAAAACCUAACAUACAUAUGCAUUAAUCACCAGAAAUGCUUAAUGUGUUAAUACUCGGUUAUUUAAAAUUCAUAAAAAAAGCUGUUAGGUUCCCUUCAUUAUUAUAAAAAAAAAAAGAAUCAUUGCUGAGUUUUUAUCAUGAUUCAUGUACUUUUUUUUAACUAAUGAAUCGUGACAUAAAAUCUCAGCAUACUGUAACAUUUAUUUUUAUAGAACAUCGAAUAAGCAUCAAUGCUCUUUUGCACUUCCGUAUAGAAAUAAAGAAUCAUUGUAGAAUGUACACAGACUACAAUUAACUAAUACUAAUAAUCGUAAGCUUUAUGGUACUGCAUUCAAAAUAAAAUGGAUAUAUGUUCCAAUGAGAUGUAAAGGAUAUAGCAUCGUAAAUUAUAAAAUAAUUCCUUUAAGGGACGACUGAAAAUGAAUCUAUUUUCUUUUAAUGUAGUUAAAAUAAGCAUUGGCUAAAGAAAAUCAUAUGAUUGCUCACAUUACUAUACGUUAUAUAUUCUGCAAUAUUAUAUCUCUUAUUAAGAUAGAAUAUUUUUACAUUCUUUUUUAUUUUUUUGCGAUGCACAAUGUAAUUAUAAUUUUCAAUGGACUACAUCUAAACAAAAAUUAAGAAACAAUCUUGGUUUAUGAAGAUAUUCACUAUUGAAAAUUAAUUUAAAUAUACCUAAAUAAAUAGUCUAUAACUGGAAUAAGUGCCCGUAUUGCUGUAUUCAAAUAUUGUUAUUUAUUACAAACUGAGUGUUAUAUAAUAUUGCAUUUACAUGUAAAAGUAUGUUAUAUAAAAAAUAACAGAAAUAUUACUAUAUCCGUUAUGAUUUCUGUUAUGAUUCAAGUUAUUUUAUAACACUUCAGUUAUUUUACCCGUAAAUAUUUAAAAUAUAUUUCAUAUUUUUACUAAUUAUUUUAAUGAAAUAUUUCAAUAUUUAAUUAAACGAACAAACAAGUUCAAAGGAUUGUUAAAUGAAAAUUUAGUAAAUCAGUUGAAAAGUUGUAAUAAAUAAUAAAAUUGUCAAUGCAAUUGAUAUCAUUUUUCGUCAUAUAAUUAAGUGUAAUUGGUGUCUAAAAUGAUUAAAUUUUCAUAAAAUUAUGUAUACAAAUUGGCAAUUAUACAUAAGCAUAGCCUAUUACUGUUAAAGAGGAGGUUGAUCUAUAGCUGCAUCUUUAUAAAUGGAGCAACGCAAAUGUGAAAGAAAAUAAACAAAUGAGUAAUAAAUUUAUGUUUCACUAUUUUAAUAGUUAUUAUAUUAGGGAGACAGGAAAGUAAUGUCGUUUCUGCGCAUGUCGAUAUUUGAUUGUGAUUAAAAAUAAAAGCUUGUUAAAAAUUUAUUCGUUUGAAUUUAAUUUAAGAAAGCAACAUUACUUUCCGGUCCACCUAAUAAUUAGUAAAAUAUUCAGGGGCAUAACCAGAAAGGAGGAAGCCUGCUUUUGUAGCUUUUUUGCAUGUUUUUAAAAAAUCUAGUUGUUUAAUUCAAAAAAUAGUUUUAAUUCAAACAAUAGGUUAAAACAUUUUAUAAAUUUAUGGUCUGUCCUGCCAAUUUCUUUCCUGCUCUAACAUUUUAAUCUGUCUGCGCCCUUGAAUACACAUUGUAUGUGAACAUUUAAAAAAAAUUUUUAUAAUAUUCUUGCCAUAUAAAAAAGAAAAAUAAUUCAGUUUUAAAUACUAUUGCUUUAUUUUCAUCUUUGAAUGAACGUUUGUUUUGAUAAAUUACAUUAAAAAGGAAACUAAAAACGUGAAAGUAUUAUAACUUAUACCAUUAAAAUUUACAAUAAUAUUCGAUGUUUAUUAUAUUAAAUCUGAACUCAGAUACUCAUAUUAUCAUUACAUUUUAGCCAUUUAUCUUAAAAUGAUUUCUAAAUUUAUAUAUACGCCGUUUAGAUCUACCUCAUCUCAAACAGUUUCAUGGAUUAUAAUAUGAAGCAUUAUAAUUUCAAAAUAAUUAGCUAUAGAUUCGUGUGCAAGAUGUAGAGAGGCUUUAGAAACAAGAUAAUAUAAAUCGUAAUACAUAUUUGUAUUUAAUUCUGAGUAUUCCUAAAAAGUAUUAUUAUUAUUAUUAUUAUUAUUAUUAUUAUUAUUAUUAUUAUUAUUUUUAUUAUUUUUAUUAUUAUUAUUAUUAUUUUUAUUAUUAUUAUUAUUAUUAUUAUUAUUAUUAUUAUUAUUAUUAUUAUUUACAUAAGAGAAACAAUACAUUAAAAUUCCAUAAAAUUAACAUACUCAUGACUAUUUAUUUAAAAUGUCAUAACAAAUAUAAUUUUAAAUUUACUUAUAUUUUUGAAUGUCUAAUGUACACUAGGAUAUUUUGAUAUCGCUUAUUGUUAAAUAUCGUUGUCAUUAUCAUAAUCUGCAUUAUUAAUGGUAUUCAUAUUAUGAUUAUAAUUAAUAUAAAAAUAAUUAGUAUUACAUUCAAUUAAGAUGCCCGUGCUGAGCAGUAACUUGAAGCAUUCAAUAAAUUUAUCAUUAAUCGACCUACCUAUAAAAUUGAGUAAUAAGCAAAACGAAUUCGAUCGUGCACCUAUAGUGAGCGAAGAGAAGUAUGAUCCCAAAGUUUUAAUAGGAAAUUGGUUUAAUCGUCGCGCAUCUUACAUACCUUUCUUUAAUAAGUGGAUAACACACAUAUAAACUAUAUAUAAGCAACAUUAUAAAUCUUAUGAUAUCAACAUAUACAAGAAAGAUUAAAUACCAUUUUGGGAUAAUAAAAUCAAAAAUGAGGUUUAUUUAGAAGUACAUUAAUGAAUCACCGUGGAAAGUCACAUUACAAAAAUAUGACCACACAUGAUUUAAGCUAUAGAAUUCCUAUCCUAAAAAUCAAAUUUAAGGAUUUACAAUAUAAGGAAAAAUGGAUAGUUACCAGAACAAGAUUUAACUAAAGAUUUCGGAAAUUUAACAAAAAUUGGUAUAAAGGAUGCAUUAUAAGUUUGGUGGGACAGUACUUCAAAUGAAGCAAUAAAAUUCUGCUGAUGGAGAAAUGAGUGCAAAACUUAUGAUAUUUCACUUAUAAAGAAAAAAUAAUUACGAGGCUCUUAAUAAUACGUUGUGAUAUAUUGGCAGUAUAUGUAAUGUUAUCUAUAGACAGCAAACAGAGAAAUCACAUACUGUAGUCAGAGGUAAUUAUGAAAAAAAGUAAAACAAAAAAAAAUAUGUUUUGGCUAUUAAUACUUUUCAACGCAACAAAGUGGUACACACCACAACCAUAUUUAAUAUAAGUGAACCACAUAACAAUGCAUGUAACCAGAUAGGAUUGGUUGAUACUGUUGUGCAAGUUGGAUAAGUUUGUAUAUUCAUUGAAUUUCCUAUUUCAUCUGUGCUUAUUUUUGAAUGUUGUGAACAACAUUCAUCAAAAAUUGUAUUAUUCUUUGGAAAAUGCGCUGUUAACGUUUGUUGAGGAAAUGAAUGUGAGAAUUUCAAUGUUUGAUGGCAUAUUGAACUUUUCGGUUUUAUGAAAGAACAUGAUUGAGUAGGCUGACAAAAACGUCUAACGGAUUUUAUAGUAUUUUGCUUGUGACCAUAAUAUGACAAUGAUGCAUCCGAGAUAAUUGAACAUUGAUCAAAUUCGUGAAUAGAGGGUUCUCUGGAAGGAGCACAGUUAGAACCAACAGAACCAAAACCAGAACUUUGACUGGAUGACCUUGAUAAUGAUGGUGCAUCCAUACCUCCUUGCCAAUAUCCACCAGCAACCCAUGAUGUUUGUGUUACUGAUUUUAAUUUAGGUGGUGAUAAAAUAUUCUUUUUACCGAAGGUAUUAUUUGAUCUUUUAAAUAAAUCGGAACUAACUGUA
Molecule: long non-coding RNA, 4125 nt
Organism: Vespa velutina
Lineage: Eukaryota; Metazoa; Arthropoda; Insecta; Hymenoptera; Vespidae
Exons: 4
Source: RefSeq, a predicted model, not a curated record